UUAGAGGACAAAUGUAGCUUAAGAAAUUUU
Molecule: non-coding RNA, 30 nt
Filed under: Cricetulus griseus (Chinese hamster)
Lineage: Eukaryota; Metazoa; Chordata; Mammalia; Rodentia; Cricetidae
Source: RNAcentral